GUGGGGAAUCUUAGACAAUGGGCGCAAGUCUGAUCUAGCCAUGCCGCGUGAGCGAUGAAGGCCUUAGGGUUGUAAAGCUCUUUCGCUGGGGAAGAUAAUGACUGUACCCAGUAAAGAAGCCCCGGCUAACUCCGUGCCAGCAGCCGCGGUAAUACGGAGGGGGCUAGCGUUGUUCGGAAUUACUGGGCGUAAAGCGCGCGUAGGCGGAUUGGAAAGUUGGGGGUGAAAUCCCGGGGCUCAACCUCGGAACUGCCUUCAAAACUCCCAGUCUUGAGUUCGAGAGAGGUGAGUGGAAUUCCGAGUGUAGAGGUGAAAUUCGUAGAUAUUCGGAGGAACACCAGUGGCGAAGGCGGCUCACUGGCUCGAUACUGACGCUGAGGUGCGAAAGCGUGGGGAGCAAACAGGAUUAGAAACCCGGGUAGUCC
Molecule: ribosomal RNA, 425 nt
Filed under: uncultured bacterium
Lineage: Bacteria
Description: bacterial SSU rRNA
Rfam family: Bacterial small subunit ribosomal RNA
Source: RNAcentral